Molecule: ribosomal RNA, 433 nt
Filed under: uncultured bacterium
Lineage: Bacteria
Description: partial 16S ribosomal RNA
Rfam family: Bacterial small subunit ribosomal RNA
Source: RNAcentral
AACGAACGCUGGCGGCAUGCCUAACACAUGCAAGUCGAACGAGACCUUCGGGUCUAGUGGCGCACGGGUGCGUAACGCGUGGGAACCUGCCCUUAGGUUCGGAAUAACUCCCCGAAAGGGGUGCUAAUACCGGAUAAUGUCUUCGGACCAAAGAUUUAUCGCCUUUGGAUGGGCCCGCGUUGGAUUAGCUAGUUGGUAGGGUAAAAGCCUACCAAGGCGACGAUCCAUAGCUGGUCUGAGAGGAUGAUCAGCCACACUGGGACUGAGGCACGGCCCAGACUCCUACGGGAGGCAGCAGUGGGGAAUAUUGGACAAUGGGCGAAAGCCUGAUCCAGCAAUGCCGCGUGAGUGAUGAAGGCCUUAGGGUUGCAAAGCUCUUUUACCCGGGAUGAUAAUGACAGUACCGGGAGAAUAAGCUCCGGCUAACUCCGUG